RNAcentral lists this long non-coding RNA (1558 nucleotides) under Sus scrofa (pig). RNAcentral describes it as "lncRNA (ENSSSCG00030040954.1)". Lineage: Eukaryota; Metazoa; Chordata; Mammalia; Artiodactyla; Suidae. The record is from RNAcentral.
UUCCCUCUGAAGUGCAAACAAACCACUAGCAAUUCAGCAUGGGUUUCCUCCUCCCCCCCUUCUAUCCUUCCAUCCUCCCUCCCUUUCUUCCUUUUACCCGCCCCCCUUCCCACUCCUCCUCCACACCCCCAACCUUUGAGGUUUCUACAUUUCUGUCCUCCAUCAUGUGUGGAACAAAUUGACUAUGAAGCUAGAAGACAGAGAGGAAGAAAAAAAAAAAAAAGUCCAAAGAGCUCCCGAAAGGAAAUGUGACAGAGACAGGGAGAAAGGGAAAACACUGGGAGAGAAAAGAUGGAAGGAAAAAACGGAAAAGGGUUUCCGAUUUUGUUCUUUUCCAACCUGGCAAAAUGCACCAUUAUACCCUGGGGAGGGACAUGGACUCUGAUAAAGAAUCUCUUACGGCCAAAGAUGUUUUAAAUGAACCCUUGCCGUGUGCAAAAUCAUAUGCUGAAAAAGACAGAAACUCCAAGCAUUCAUUUCAUCAACUCAACACAUUACUCCUUAUUUUCACAAGUGGUGUGUAUGGGAUAGUAAAUCUUAAUCGUUUCAUUACUUUCAAUUACACCUGACAUUGUUUUUUGAGUGUAGGCAAAAUGGUUACUGUCUGCUAAAAUCUGAGGAAACGAAAGGGAAAAAUAUGUUAUUCGAUCAAAUUUAUCAUCUCCCCUAUUGCCUCUCCAUCCUGAAGACAUUAUAAAUAGUUAUCCUGGGUGAAUGUUGGAUAAGUAGGACAUGGGGAUGGGGCAGGCCUUCUUCAGACAUACUUUAGCAGAUCAGAAAUAGAGGCUUAGGUACAUGAAAGAGUAUUUUCUUUGGUUGCUGUUAUUCUUGAGUUAAACCUUAGGAAUGUAUGUAUCACCACAGAAUUCUGGACAGCCAGGCCGCUUUGUCUGUCAGAUGGUAGGUUCUCACGUUCACUUGUUCCUUGCAGAUUGGAGGAGAGAACAGUUGCUGAAUGAAGGACUUCAGGAAAAAUAUGGUAAAGCCUCUUUUAUAUCCCCUCACCACCCAAACAUUGUAGAACACCUGCGUUCGUGGUGUUGUAAAGAUAUCCCAGCUUUUAGCCAACGUGUCACCACUGGCUUGCCCUCUCCCAGAUCUCUGCUAUUCUGGCACAAUUUUGCAGUUAGGGACUCUCCCAUAUUCCUCCCUUCUCUGCUCUUGCAAAGCCUGUAUGUUCCAAUAUAGUCUGUGGGUCAAGUGUAAACUCGAGGGGCAUCCCUGCACUGACUCUGAGCACAUGACCCAAGUGUCCCCAGGUAUUCGUAGACUUCCCAUUGUUUUACCUAGGAAUUUUUUAUUUAGAACCAAUGAGAGUAAUUUUCAUUCUUUCCUUUUUACUUCAUUGACACAGCUGUCAAUUUUGCAAACUCCAACUACUUCAAAUAUUUGUAGAAGGAUUUCAUAGCUUAAGGAAAGAUCAAUAAUAAUAAUCAUAAUACAUUUCUGAUUUCUAAGUUUUCAUGCGAAUGACACAAGGAACUACUGUCCUACAAUGUUCCCAGAAGGCUUUUCAUAAAACACAAACGUAGUCUUUAGAAGUUUAAUAUCCUGUUUU